Molecule: ribosomal RNA, 497 nt
Filed under: uncultured bacterium
Lineage: Bacteria
Description: partial 16S ribosomal RNA
Rfam family: Bacterial small subunit ribosomal RNA
Source: RNAcentral
GAUGAACGCUGGCGGCGUGCCUAAUACAUGCAAGUCGAGCGAACAGAUGAGGAGCUUGCUCCUUUGACGUUAGCGGCGGACGGGUGAGUAACACGUGGAUAACCUACCUAUAAGACUGGGAUAACUUCGGGAAACCGGAGCUAAUACCGGAUAAUAUAUUGAACCGCAUGGUUCAAUAGUGAAAGACGGCUUUGCUGUCACUUAUAGAUGGAUCCGCGCCGCAUUAGCUAGUUGGUAAGGUAACGGCUUACCAAGGCAACGAUGCGUAGCCGACCUGAGAGGGUGAUCGGCCACACUGGAACUGAGACACGGUCCAGACUCCUACGGGAGGCAGCAGUAGGGAAUCUUCCGCAAUGGGCGAAAGCCUGACGGAGCAACGCCGCGUGAGUGAUGAAGGUCUUCGGAUCGUAAAACUCUGUUAUUAGGGAAGAACAAAUGUGUAAGUAACUAUGCACGUCUUGACGGUACCUAAUCAGAAAGCCACGGCUAACUACGUG